UGGGGAAUAUUGGACAAUGGGCGAAAGCCUGAUCCAGCCAUGCCGCGUGUGUGAAGAAGGCCUUUUGGUUGUAAAGCACUUUAAGUGGGGAGGAAAAGCUUAUGGUUAAUACCCAUAAGCCCCGACGUUACCCACAGAAUAAGCACCGGCUAACUCUGUGCCAGCAGCCGCGGUAAUACAGAGGGUGCAAGCGUUAAUCGGAAUUACUGGGCGUAAAGCGCGCGUAGGUGGUUAUUUAAGUCAGAUGUGAAAGCCCCGGGCUUAACCUGGGAACUGCAUCUGAUACUGGAUAACUAGAGUAGGUGAGAGGGGAGUAGAAUUCCAGGUGUAGCGGUGAAAUGCGUAGAGAUCUGGAGGAAUACCGAUGGCGAAGGCAGCUCCCUGGCAUCAUACUGACACUGAGGUGCGAAAGCGUGGGUAGCAAACAGGAUUAGAUACCCUGGUAGUCCACGCCGUAAACGAUGUCUACCAGUCGUUGGGUCUUUUAAAGACUUAGUGACGCAGUUAACGCAAUAAGUAGACCGCCUGGGGAGUACGGCCGCAAGGUUA
Molecule: ribosomal RNA, 549 nt
Filed under: uncultured bacterium
Lineage: Bacteria
Description: bacterial SSU rRNA
Rfam family: Bacterial small subunit ribosomal RNA
Source: RNAcentral